This is a long non-coding RNA of Syzygium oleosum, 322 nucleotides long. RefSeq lists it as uncharacterized. The record is from RefSeq and is a predicted model, not a curated record. The transcript has 2 exons. Lineage: Eukaryota; Viridiplantae; Streptophyta; Magnoliopsida; Myrtales; Myrtaceae.
AUUCUAGCUAUGACUUAGCUAGUCCUGGUCUUUUUGUCAAGGCCUUUGCUGUCAUGAAAAUUGCAUGGUUAUAUGCGGUGCCUAAGAAUUUGAUUGUACUGCAUAUGCAUGGGGUUGCAGAAAAUAUUAUCUCUCCUAGAGUCAGAUGAUGCCAAUGUACGGAUUCAUGCUGUGAAGGUGGUGGCCAACCUUGCUGCUGAAGAUGGAUUUCCAUCUUUCUCUUGAAACUUCUUAUCAGAUGUGAAUUGAAUGUCAUCCCUUUCUCUGGGAGCAUGUUUGUAUCUUCUUAAGUAAAUUUCUCAAUCAAUAUGGCUGGGAUGGA